Long non-coding RNA from Xiphophorus hellerii (green swordtail), 478 nucleotides. RefSeq lists it as uncharacterized. The transcript is spliced from 2 exons. Lineage: Eukaryota; Metazoa; Chordata; Actinopteri; Cyprinodontiformes; Poeciliidae. The record is from RefSeq and is a predicted model, not a curated record.
CUGUUGGCAGCCUCGCCUCCACAGGUUCAGCUGCUGGCUCCGCUCGUCGUAGUGCGCGUGCGCUCCGGGGUUGCUCAGGUUGUGCUGGAUGCAGGGUCGGGACGACAGGGUGCUGCAGCAGCUGAAGGGAACGCUGUCCAUCAGGACUUUUCUGUCAGGUUGGAGUCGCCUGCUGACAUUUUCAUUGCUUUUUGUGACUGAUACAGAACACUCCCACACUGAUGCAUGUUGCUGUGGGACAGGCAAUGGAUCUAAAUCCAGGACAAUGCUGGAAGAAAACCUGUUAGAAGACCAGAGUCUGGGCUGGAGGUUCAGAUUCCAGCAGGAAAACCAGGGAUGGCCUAGUCCAAGUCCAGACAUAAAUCAACUGAGAUUAUGUGGGAAGACUUGAUGUUCUCCAUGCAGACUGGCUGAACUACAGAUGGAGGAAACCCGUCAGGGAGAGGCGGUUCUGCAGAGUUCUGAGGCAGGCCCUAAA